This 65-nucleotide transfer RNA is filed under the name Lethe helle. RNAcentral's name for it is "tRNA-Val". The record is from RNAcentral. Lineage: Eukaryota; Metazoa; Arthropoda; Insecta; Lepidoptera; Nymphalidae. RNAcentral also lists the same sequence under 1 other name.
CAAAUUAGAGCUUGAUAUAAAGUAUUUCAUUUACAUUGAAAAGAAAUUAAAAUUAAUUAAUUUGA